RNAcentral lists this ribosomal RNA (183 nucleotides) under Ulva paschima. RNAcentral's name for it is "5.8S ribosomal RNA". It matches the Rfam family "5.8S ribosomal RNA". Rfam says of the family: 5.8S ribosomal RNA (5.8S rRNA) is a component of the large subunit of the eukaryotic ribosome. Lineage: Eukaryota; Viridiplantae; Chlorophyta; Ulvophyceae; Ulvales; Ulvaceae. The record is from RNAcentral.
AACUCUCAACAACGGAUAUCUUGGCUCUCGCAUCGAUAAGAACGCAGCUGUUGCAUCGAUGAAGAACGCAGCGAAAUGCGAUACGUAGUGUGAAUUGCAGAAUUCCGUGAGUCAUCGAAUCUUUGAACGCACAUUGCCGGUCGACUCUUCGGAGGAGACCACAUCUGCCUCAGCGUCGGGAUA